GUGCCUAACACAUGCAAGUCGAACGAGAAAGUGGAGCAAUCCAUGAGUACAGUGGCGUACGGGUGAGUAACACGUGACUAACCUACCCUCGAGUGGGGAAUAACUUCGGGAAACCGAGGCUAAUACCGCAUAACAUCUACGGAUCAAAUGCGUAAGCAGCUUGAGGAGGGGGUCGCGGCUGAUUAGCUAGUUGGUGAGGUAACGGCCCACCAAGGCAAUGAUCAGUAGCCGGCCUGAGAGGGCGCACGGCCACACUGGAACUGAAACACGGUCCAG
Molecule: ribosomal RNA, 276 nt
Filed under: uncultured bacterium
Lineage: Bacteria
Description: partial 16S ribosomal RNA
Rfam family: Bacterial small subunit ribosomal RNA
Source: RNAcentral